CAGCAUCCUCCUCGUGGAUCAGUUCAGCCGCAGCAUCCGACUCACACGCGUGUUCUUCUGUCCGCCUCGAACUUGCACCUCAUCACUUCGUCCGAAGGGAGCGCACAAUCGGACUCGUUGUUUCUUCGAGAAUCCGCAAGACCGGUUUGUUUGGAUUGUCCGGGCUGCGGGCUGGAGCCGGUCGUUCUGGAAGGCACAACGAAUUCUCUUGUUGUUGCUGUCAGCGGCAACGCUUAACACCGGCAACAGCAAGUUCCAAGUCUAGCUUGGAAACCAAUGCCGGCCGUGGUGUGUCCGCAGUAUCCGCAUGGCAUCGGCAAUAAUUAAGAGCGGGGAAAAUAUACGACUUUAAGAACAUAAAGCCGAAUUAAUGAAACCGAAAAUAAUGUCAAACGAUGACAUAAACUUCCGAAACAUAUGAAAGGCAGCUGUUGCGGUUUCCACUGACUGGUGUUGAUGGCGGUUGUCGCUGUUUUUCGAUGGAGCUAGUAAUAUGCACCGUAUGUAUUGGAGAGAUGAUCUCAUUAAAAUCGAACAUGUGAAUCGGAUGCUUCACGCUGAACUCACAUAAAUCAAUGUCCGCACAGCUACCAAUUUGUUAAAAUCGUGCAUUCAUAAGCAAGGCUGGAUAAAGUGAGAAAAAACAUCCAAGAAACAUAUCAAACAACGAUUCUAAAAAUAUCGCAAAAUGCAACCUGCCCCAGCAGGCAUUGAUCCCGAACAAAGUAGGCUUGCCUGACAGGUCUUGUCCUGCUGAACGCUGCUCGGGUGUUGCUGUGCGUUCGCAACGUUGGUCGAAUGAUUAAACACACAAAUAUGCAGUAGGCUGAACCAAAUAUAUGAAAUCGGACCCUCGAAAUUAAUCAUAU
This is a long non-coding RNA of Armigeres subalbatus, 869 nucleotides long. RefSeq lists it as uncharacterized. The transcript is spliced from 3 exons. Lineage: Eukaryota; Metazoa; Arthropoda; Insecta; Diptera; Culicidae. The record is from RefSeq and is a predicted model, not a curated record.